This 1686-nucleotide long non-coding RNA is filed under the name Marmota monax (woodchuck). The stretch from base 1318 to 1386 matches the Rfam family "tRNA". Lineage: Eukaryota; Metazoa; Chordata; Mammalia; Rodentia; Sciuridae. The record is from RNAcentral.
GGGUUUGAUUCCCAGAACCACAAAAAUAAACAAAUGGCACCAAAAGUAAAAAGCUGGAAAAUUCUGUACAGAGAAAAACUAACAAAAAGCAUACCUACAGAAAAAUCAGGGCUGGGGAUGUAGCUCAACAGUAGUGCACUUGCUUAGUAUGCAUGAGGCCUUGGAUUCGAGCCCCAGGAACCACCCCUGCCCCCCCAAAAAACAGUUUGCCUUAUUGGCAAGUGACAUUUUCUUUUCUUUUUCUUUUUCUUUUUCUUUUUCUUUUUUUUUUAUUGGGAUUGAGUCUGGGGCCACCUUACCGCUGAGCUAGAUCCCCAGCCCUUUUUGUUUUUAAGUUGGAUGCAAGGUCUUGCUAAGUUGCUAAGGCUGGCCUCAAAUUUGGAAUCUUCCUGCCUCAGCCUCCUGAGACACUGUGACUUCAGGAAUGUGCACCAGGCCUGGCAAGGACAUUCAUUAGGGAUUAAGACAGCCACUGCAAAAUGACGAACGGGAUAGUUCUUAGUUCUGAAUGUAUAUGUUCCAGGUUUUAAAAAUGAGGGUGAAAUACACAGAAAAAAACAGAAUAUAUGGCAAAAUGAGAGGAUACAAGAGAAAUUGCCAAAUCUAUCACAGUGGGAAAAUUAAGACUUUCUUUUUUUAAAGAAUUUAACCUUUAUUUUAUUUAAUUGUUGUUGUUUAUUUUUAUGUGGUGCUAAGGAUCGAACCCAGGGCCUCACCCAUCCUAGUCAAACUCUCUACCACUAAGCUACAACCCCAGCCUCAAAUUAAGACUUUUUUGAAUAAUGAAUAGACCAAAUAAGAGAUGUAGAUAAUUUUAAUACCAUCAAUAAUCCUGAUCAGUGGAUCUCUACAGAAUCCACAUAUUACUUUCAGAUACAAGAAUUAUUUAUAGCUGGGCACGGUGUUGCACACCUAUAAUCCCAGUGGCUUGGGAGGUUGAUGCAGGAAGAUCAUGAGUUCAGAGUCAGCCUCAGUAAUUUAUGAAUUUAGCAACUCAGCGAGACCCUGUUUCUAAUAAAAACAUUAAAAAGGGCUGGAUGUGAGCACCCCUGGGUUUAAUGCCCAGUACCAAAAAAAAAGAAGAAGAAGAAGAGGAAGAAGAAUUUACAAAAAAAGACCCAACUACUAGACUCCAAGACAAAAACAAAUAUAAAAUAGUAAAUUUUAUACAGACCAUAAUUUUUGACUACAGACAAGAGCCAAAUAAGCUCUAAAAAUUUGGAGAUUUAAACCUACUUUGAAAUAACCCUCUUUAAUCAAAGAUGAAAAUCAUAAAAAUGAGAAACAUGUAACUUAAACAAAAAUGACUAUACAGCUGGGGUUGUGGCUCAGUGGUAGAGCAUUUGCCUAGCAUGUGUGAGGUACUGGGUUUGAUUCCCAGCACCAAUAUAAAUAAAAAAGGUCCACUGACAAAUAUAUAUAUACACAAAAUGACUAUAGAGCUAGGCACAGUGGCCCAUGUCUGUAAUCCCAGUGGCUUGGGGGGAUGAAGUAGGAGCAUCUCAAGUUUAAUACCAGCCUCAGCAAUUUUGCAAGGCCCUAAACAAGGAGAGACUGUGUCUCAAAAUUUAAAAAGGGCUGGGAUGUGGCUCAAAAAAUAUACAUAUUAAUAACUUGGAUGGGGCCAGGCAUGGUGGGACAUGCCUGUAAUACCUGCGGAUUAUAGGCUGAGGUUUGAGGAUUUCG